This 2408-nucleotide long non-coding RNA is filed under the name Prunus persica (peach). RNAcentral describes it as "long non-coding RNA (PPER_LNC004056)". The record is from RNAcentral. Lineage: Eukaryota; Viridiplantae; Streptophyta; Magnoliopsida; Rosales; Rosaceae.
ACCUUUCCCGACGAAAUUUCGUCGGCAAAGAUAUUUUCGUCGGGGCAAACCUAAUCCGGCAAAUUUUGUCGGCAUAGAUCUUUGCCGACGAAAUUUCGUCGGGAGAAGUGUUCAUGUGUUUUUUUUUUUUUUUUGAAAAGUAUAAAGUUUAAAAAUAUGGAUAUGUUUAAACUAGCAAAUUAAUAUCUAUAAAGUACAAGCUAAUGCAACUUGGAGGGUCCUUCUUUCUGUUAUUUAUUUAUUAAAUACUAUAUUUACACAGUAUAGCCGUGCGGCUGUACUGUAUUUUUCUUUUUUAAAAAUAGUCUAGCCGGGCGGCUAUACUUUUUGGGGACACGUGGCGCCUAAUCGCUGGAGGCUCCUUUUUUAAGACCAAAAAAUAGUACAGCCGCACGGCUAUACUCGGUGUUUUUUAAAAAGUCGACACGUGGCGCCUUUUUUAUUAAAAACAGUAUAGCCGCACGGCUAUACUCAGUUUUUUUUUUUUUAAAUUUUUUUUUUUUUUUUUUUUUUUUAAUGAAAAGGUAGGCUACACCCUUUAAGUAGCAUGGUAUGUAUUUCACUUUUUUAAUUACUUUGAUUAGUAAAGGAGAAAAAGAAGAAGAGAAAAUUGAAUUACUAUUCAUUAAGUAAUAUAAUUCAUGAAGUUAAUUAAAAUAUUUAAUCAUAAUCAGUCAUUAAAUAAAUAAACUAAUUAAAAUAUAAUUGCUAAUUCAACUAAUUAAAUCUCCAAAUAUAUUAUGUGGAUACUAAAAAUAAAAUUUUUAAAAAUUAAUUAACCUAACAUCCUAAGUUUAUACUUAUUUUUUAAAAUUAAGACCUUUCCCGACGAAAUUUCGUCGGCAAAGAUAUUUUCGUCGGGGCAAACCUAAUCCGGCAAAUUUUGUCGGCAUAGAUCUUUGCCGACGAAAUUUCGUCGGGAGAAGUGUUCAUGUGUUUUUUUUUUUUUUUGAAAAGUAUAAAGUUUAAAAAUAUGGAUAUGUUUAAACUAGCAAAUUAAUAUCUAUAAAGUACAAGCUAAUGCAACUUGGAGGGUCCUUCUUUCUUUUAUUUAUUUAUUAAAUACUAUAUUUACAUAGUAUAGCCGUGCGGCUGUACUAUAUUUUUCUUUUUGAAAAAUAGUCUAGCCGGGCGGCUAUACUUUUUGGGGACACGUGGCGCCUAAUCGCUGGAGGCUCCUUUUUUUUAAGACCAAAAAAUAGUACAGCCGCACGGCUAUACGCGGUGUUUUUUAAAAAGUCGACACGUGGCGCCUUUUUAUAUUAAAAAUAGUAUAGCCGCGCGGCUAUACUCAGUUUUUUUUUUUUUUUUUUCAAUUUUUUUUUAAUGAAAAGGUAGGCUACACCCUUUAAGUAGCAUGGUAUGUAUUUCACUUUUUUAAUUACUUUGAUUAGUAAAGGAGAAAAAGAAGAAGAGAAAAUUGAAUUACUAUUCAUUAAGUAAUAUAAUUCAUGAAGUUAAUUAAAAUAUUUAAUCAUAAUCAGUCAUUAAAUAAAUAAUAAUUAAAAUAUAAUUGCUAAUUCAGCUAAUUAAAUCUCCAAAUAUAUUAUGUAGUUACUAAAAAUAAAAUUUUUAAAAAUUAAUUAACCUAACAUCCUAAGUUUAUACUUAUUUUUUAAAAUUAAGACCUUUCCCGACGAAAUUUCGUCGGCAAAGAUAUUUUCGUCGGGGCAAACCUAAUCCGGCAAAUUUUGUCGGCAUAGAUCUUUGCCGACGAAAUUUCGUCGGGAGAAGUGUUCAUGUGUUUUUUUUUUUUUUUGAAAAGUAUAAAGUUUAAAAAUAUGGAUAUGUUUAAACUAGCAAAUUAAUAUCUAUAAAGUACAAGCUAAUGCAACUUGGAGGGUCCUUCUUUCUUUUAUUUAUUUAUUAAAUACUAUAUUCACAUAGUAUAGCCGUGCGGCUGUACUAUAUUUUCUUUUUGAAAAAUAGUCUAGCCGGGCGGCUAUACUGUUUGGGGACACGUGGCGCCUAAUCGCUGGAGGCUACUUUUUUUUAAGACCAAAAAAUAGUACAGCCGCACGGCUAUACUCGGUGUUUUUAAAAAGUCGACACGUGGCGCCUUCUUAUAUUAAAAAUAGUAUAGCCGGGCGGCUAUACUCAGUUUUUUUUUUUCUUUUAAUUUUUUAAUUUUUUUUUAAUGAAAAGGUAGGCUACACCCUUUAAGUAGCAUGGUAUGUAUUUCACUUUUUUAAUUACUUUGAUUAGUAAAGGAGAAAAAGAAGAAGAGAAAAUUGAAUUACUAUUCAUUAAGUAAUAUAAUUCAUGAAGUUAAUUAAAAUAUUUAAUCAUAAUGAGUCAUUAAAUAAAUAAUAAUUAAAAUAUAAUUGCUAAUUCAGCUAAUUAAAUCUCCAAAUAUAUUAUGUAGUUACUAAAAAUAAAAUUUUUAAAAAUUAAUUAACCUAACAUCC